UGGCAAGGUAGUUUAAGAGUUUAAAACAGUAGGUUGUGGUCCUUCAUAUAUGCUCGGCAGGGUUUUCUUGCCAU
This 74-nucleotide transfer RNA is filed under the name Sinosolenaia oleivora. RNAcentral describes it as "tRNA-His". Lineage: Eukaryota; Metazoa; Mollusca; Bivalvia; Unionida; Unionidae. The record is from RNAcentral.